UAGCUUGCUACCUGACCUAGCGGCGGACGGGUGAGUAAUGCUUAGGAAUCUGCCUAUUAGUGGGGGACAACAUUCCGAAAGGAAUGCUAAUACCGCAUACGUCCUACGGGAGAAAGCAGGGGAUCUUCGGACCUUGCGCUAAUAGAUGAGCCUAAGUCAGAUUAGCUAGUUGGUGGGGUAAAGGCCUACCAAGGCGACGAUCUGUAGCGGGUCUGAGAGGAUGAUCCGCCACACUGGGACUGAGACACGGCCCAGACUCCUACGGGAGGCAGCAGUGGGGAAUAUUGGACAAUGGGCGAAAGCCUGAUCCAGCCAUGCCGCGUGUGUGAAGAAGGCCUUUUGGUUGUAAAGCACUUUAAGCGAGGAGGAGGCUACUGAGAUUAAUACUCUUGGAUAGUGGACGUUACUCGCAGAAUAAGCACCGGCUAACUCUGUGCCAGCAGCCGCGGUAAUACAGAGGGUGCGAGCGUUAAUCGGAUUUACUGGGCGUAAAGCGUGCGUAGGCGGCUUUUUAAGUCGGAUGUGAAAUCCCUGAGCUUAACUUAGGAAUUGCAUUCGAUACUGGGAAGCUAGAGUAUGGGAGAGGAUGGUAGAAUUCCAGGUGUAGCGGUGAAAUGCGUAGAGAUCUGGAGGAAUACCGAUGGCGAAGGCAGCCAUCUGGCCUAAUACUGACGCUGAGGUACGAAAGCAUGGGGAGCAAACAGGAUUAGAUACCCUGGUAGUCCAUGCCGUAAACGAUGUCUACUAGCCGUUGGGGCCUUUGAGGCUUUAGUGGCGCAGCUAACGCGAUAAGUAGACCGCCUGGGGAGUACGGUCGCAAGACUAAAACUCAAAUGAAUUGACGGGGGCCCGCACAAGCGGUGGAGCAUGUGGUUUAAUUCGAUGCAACGCGAAGAACCUUACCUGGUCUUGACAUAGUAAGAACUUUCCAGAGAUGGAUUGGUGCCUUCGGGAACUUACAUACAGGUGCUGCAUGGCUGUCGUCAGCUCGUGUCGUGAGAUGUUGGGUUAAGUCCCGCAACGAGCGCAACCCUUUUCCUUAUUUGCCAGCGGGUUAAGCCGGGAACUUUAAGGAUACUGCCAGUGACAAACUGGAGGAAGGCGGGGACGACGUCAAGUCAUCAUGGCCCUUACGACCGGGGCUACACACGUGCUACAAUGGUCGGUACAAAGGGUUGCUACCUAGCGAUAGGAUGCUAAUCUCAAAAAGCCGAUCGUAGUCCGGAUUGGAGUCUGCAACUCG
This 1243-nucleotide ribosomal RNA is filed under the name uncultured Acinetobacter sp. Its description in RNAcentral is "bacterial SSU rRNA". It matches the Rfam family "Bacterial small subunit ribosomal RNA", at positions 76 to 1314 of the family's 1533-position model. The record is from RNAcentral. Lineage: Bacteria; Pseudomonadati; Pseudomonadota; Gammaproteobacteria; Moraxellales; Moraxellaceae.